UGUGUGUGUUCUGUUCCAGGGUUUUUGGGGGCCUGAUCUAGGGUCAGAGAACAAACAGGACACCUAGCAGCUACAUCCACAGAUUUAUUCUUGGUUUAUCAUCCGAGGUUCACAGCUCUAGAGGAGCCCAAGGCGCAUUCCAAUGCUCUGUGACUCUAUAAAUCCAGCUAGCAUGAAAUCUCAAGGAGCCGAUGCUGUGAAAAGAGCCAAUCUGCCUGUUUACACCAUCUCAUCUUACACAGAAGCCUUGGCGCCUGCCCUGCAGAAGCCCCUCCACUCACCCCCCCUCCAAAACAUGUUUGCAGAAGUGUUCAUGCUGAACAAAGUGAUUCUAUCAUCUGGGCCUACUCUUCCAUUUGUGUUGCUGCUUCUCCUGAAACCCGUUUCAAGCUGUGUCACCCCCGACUCAGGCGAAGUUUGAAAAAUGGAAGAAGGGAACCAUGCAAAGUGGACACAUUCUCCAGCCUGCCGUAAAAUAGCCGGGAGAUGGACCAUUAGCCAUUUGCUGCUGCCGACCAAGCUGCAGAUCCUGCGUCUGCACAAAGCAGAAGGUCAGGGAGAGCUGAGCACCAGAGGAAGUGGUCAUCAAACGGUGGAAGGGAUCCACCAAACAAAAUUAAAGCUGCAGGAAGCGGAGAACGCAGCCUGUAAGCCCCGCCCACCAAGUUUUCAUCAGAGCAGCUCUCGACAUCUGCUGGAGAGACGUGGAGCAUCGUUCUUCACUUAAUGUCUCACGGCUGUCGCUUCAGCGCUCGGUUAUGAUGAAGAGGAGAUUUUAAUCCUGAUGAGAUGAUUCUGGAGCCGGUCGGCUCCUCCGGGCUCCUCCGCUCCGGGUCUGAGUCCGCGUGACUCCCGCCCCGACGACCCGGCGGGUCGAUUCGCCGAUGACUCCCGGAGUGACAGGAGUGUUUGCGGAAACAAAGCGCUGCCAAAGUCAACAUUUGGGACAGGAAACGCACGAGUCACGACACGCGACCUGAGCGAAAAGGUCAAAGACUUUGUUGACACAAACACGAAGAGCGGAUUUAACAUUUUUGAUUUCAGGCAGGAGUCAGAAACAAAAACACGCCUGGAAUGAUCUGCAGACAUCAACACAGAAACAAAGUUCAGCAAAAUGUCACCAAUUUAACAUGAAUUAAAAAGGUAAAAACACAUCAAAGCAGAAGAAGGAUUUAGAGCUUUUCUCCAACUUCAAACUGGAUCAGAACACUGAAGCAACGUUCACACCGAGCGGGUCACCACAUGGACACAAGUAAUCAGAAUACACGCCUAAUCAGAAGAAGACUCUGACCCAAUCAAUCAAUAUUAGGAGAUGGAUUAUACCGAUGGUUGAUCUGAUCGCAGUGC
This 1347-nucleotide long non-coding RNA is filed under the name Oryzias javanicus (javanese ricefish). RNAcentral's name for it is "lncRNA (ENSOJAG00000003705.1)". Lineage: Eukaryota; Metazoa; Chordata; Actinopteri; Beloniformes; Adrianichthyidae. The record is from RNAcentral.